GGCAGCGGCAACUUUGACAUUGGUCCAAGGUUGACCGAUCGACCUGCGGUAGGUUGUAGGAGGAAGAUUCGCUGCCGGGUGAGCUGGGAGGGGAGCGCUUAGUGCGUACCUGAAACCACCGGCCCGGACACCCGGUUAGCCUUGCUUUGCGCUUCCAACAGGUAUUUUACUAUAAAAGGACCCGAGGACUUGGCCAAAGUAUCAGUCUUUGCCACAGACAGCUCAACAAACCUCACUCAACCAUGUACAAGCUCAUGAUCCUCGUGCUUGCCCUUGUGGCCGUGGCUGCUGCUUAUCCUUAUCAGUACAUCCGGUACCCCGCCUAUGGCUACGGCACUAUCCGCUCAGGUCGCACAGGAUUGAUCGGCGCCAGCCCGUACGUCGCCGCUUCUCCCCUGGCCUACAGCGGUCUGGGCUCCCAACAAGCCUAUGGUGCCUACCCGUACCUUGGUUAAGCUGAGAUUGUAGAGCUGAAGACAGGGCCCGGAAACCAACCCUGGUGCUGGACCCUGUCUGAUCUGAUCCAACCUGAUGAACGACAUUUGCCUAAAUCAUCGCUGACUCCCGAUUUUUUAUUCUGAUCAAGACGCACGGAUACCAUUUUGGAAGUUCAAAUAAAAAUUUAGAGCAUAUUUUGCUGAAA
Molecule: long non-coding RNA, 643 nt
Organism: Neocloeon triangulifer
Lineage: Eukaryota; Metazoa; Arthropoda; Insecta; Ephemeroptera; Baetidae
Exons: 2
Source: RefSeq, a predicted model, not a curated record